UACAGAGGGUGCGAGCGUUAAUCGGAAUUACUGGGCGUAAAGCGUGCGUAGACGGUUAUUUAAGUCGGAUGUGAAAGCCCCGGGCUCAACCUGGGAAUUGCAUUCGAGACUGAAUAGCUAGGGUGCGGUAGAGGGAAGCAGAAUUUCCGGUGUAGCGGUGAAAUGCGUAGAUAUCGGAAGGAACAUCAGUGGCGAAAGCGGCUUCCUGGACCAGCACCGACGUUCAGGCACGAAAGCGUGGGGAGCAAACAGG
This 253-nucleotide ribosomal RNA is filed under the name uncultured bacterium. RNAcentral's name for it is "partial 16S ribosomal RNA". It matches the Rfam family "Bacterial small subunit ribosomal RNA", at positions 524 to 776 of the family's 1533-position model. The record is from RNAcentral.